GACGAACGCUGGCGGCGUGCUUAACACAUGCAAGUCGAGCGGUAAGGCCCUUUCGGGGGUACGACGAGCGGCGAACGGGUGAGUAACACGUGGGUGACCUGCCCUCAGCUCUGGGAUAAGCCUGGGAAACCGGGUCUAAUACUGGAUAUGACUCCAUGACGCAUGUUGUGGGGUGGAAAGCCUUGUGCGGCUGAGGAUGGGCCCGCGGCCUAUCAGCUUGUUGGUGGGGUGANGGCCUACCAAGGCGACGACGGGUAGCCGGCCUGAGAGGGCGACCGGCCACACUGGGACUGAGACACGGCCCAGACUCCUACGGGAGGCAGCAGUGGGGAAUCUUGCGCAAUGGGCGAAAGCCUGACGCAGCGACGCCGCGUGAGGGAUGACGGGCCUCGGUUGUAACGU
RNAcentral lists this ribosomal RNA (402 nucleotides) under uncultured bacterium. Its description in RNAcentral is "bacterial SSU rRNA". It matches the Rfam family "Bacterial small subunit ribosomal RNA", at positions 28 to 431 of the family's 1533-position model. The record is from RNAcentral.